Molecule: long non-coding RNA, 199 nt
Filed under: Octopus sinensis (East Asian common octopus)
Lineage: Eukaryota; Metazoa; Mollusca; Cephalopoda; Octopoda; Octopodidae
Description: uncharacterized LOC118767321, transcript variant X1
Source: RNAcentral
ACUUAUUCUUUAAAUUGAAAUAAGCCUUCUUUUAACCCUUUAGUGUUCACGUUAUUCUGCCAUAAUUAACGCUUUUUCAUCCACAUUGUUUUGAACUAAUCAUGCAUUAAUCUUGUAGCUAUGAGAUUUUUUUUAAAAAGAUAUUGUAGGGUUGGUGUGAGAGACCAAAUAUGGCCAGUUUGAACAUAAAACAGGCAGA